UCCUACGGGGCGCAGCAGUGGGGAAUAUUGCACAAUGGGGGAAACCCUGAUGCAGCGAUGCCGCGUGGAGGAAGAAGGUUUUCGGAUUGUAAACUCCUUUUAUCAGGGACGAUAAUGACGGUACCUGAAGAAAAAGCUCCGGCUAACUACGUGCCAGCAGCCGCGGUAAUACGUAGGGGGCAAGCGUUAUCCGGAUUUACUGGGUGUAAAGGGAGCGUAGACGGUUACGCAAGUCUGGAGUGAAAGGCGGGGGCCCAACCCCCGGACUGCUUUGGAAACUGUAUAACUGGAGUGCAGGAGAGGUA
Molecule: ribosomal RNA, 305 nt
Filed under: uncultured bacterium
Lineage: Bacteria
Description: bacterial SSU rRNA
Rfam family: Bacterial small subunit ribosomal RNA
Source: RNAcentral